CAGCCGCCGCGGGAAUACGUAGGGCGCAAGCGUUAUCCGGAAUUAUUGGGCGUAAAGAGCUCGUAGGCGGUUUGUCGCGUCUGCCGUGAAAGCCCGGGGCUCAACCUCGGAUCUGCGGUGGGUACGGGCAGACUAGAGUGAUGUAGGGGAGAGUGGAAUUCCUGGUGUAGCGGUGAAAUGCGCAGAUAUCAGGAGGAACACCGAUGGCGAAGGCAGGUCUCUGGGCAUUAACUGACGCUGAGGAGCGAAAGCAUGGGGAGCGAACAGGAUUAGAUACCCCCGUAGUCCCUGUCUCUUAUAC
Molecule: ribosomal RNA, 301 nt
Filed under: uncultured bacterium
Lineage: Bacteria
Description: partial 16S ribosomal RNA
Rfam family: Bacterial small subunit ribosomal RNA
Source: RNAcentral